This is a non-coding RNA of Peromyscus maniculatus bairdii (prairie deer mouse), 160 nucleotides long. NCBI's taxonomy places the organism in Eukaryota, Metazoa, Chordata, Mammalia, Rodentia, Cricetidae. The record is from RefSeq and is a predicted model, not a curated record.
AUGUAGCAAAAGAAACCAACCUCAUUAAGAACUAUGGGACAUCUAUGUGAGAACCACUGUUUCAUUUGGAAUCACAAGAGAAAAUAUAUGAGAUAACCUCAAAAAUGACACCUGUCCUCAAUGAAGCUACUGAUUUGGUGUGUUAAAGUAAAAUAAAAAU